Molecule: ribosomal RNA, 497 nt
Filed under: uncultured bacterium
Lineage: Bacteria
Description: partial 16S ribosomal RNA
Rfam family: Bacterial small subunit ribosomal RNA
Source: RNAcentral
GAUGAACGCUGGCGGCGUGCCUAAUACAUGCAAGUCGAGCGAACAGACGAGGAGCUUGCUCCUCUGACGUUAGCGGCGGACGGGUGAGUAACACGUGGAUAACCUACCUAUAAGACUGGGAUAACUUCGGGAAACCGGAGCUAAUACCGGAUAAUAUAUUGAACCGCAUGGUUCAAUAGUGAAAGACGGUUUUGCUGUCACUUAUAGAUGGAUCCGCGCCGCAUCAGCUAGUUGGUAAGGUAACGGCUUACCAAGGCAACGAUGCGUAGCCGACCUGAGAGGGUGAUCGGCCACACUGGAACUGAGACACGGUCCAGACUCCUACGGGAGGCAGCAGUAGGGAAUCUUCCGCAAUGGGCGAAAGCCUGACGGAGCAACGCCGCGUGAGUGAUGAAGGUCUUCGGAUCGUAAAACUCUGUUAUUAGGGAAGAACAAAUGUGUAAGUAACUAUGCACGUCUUGACGGUACCUAAUCAGAAAGCCACGGCUAACUACGUG